AUGGUAGAAUUGAACGAUGCCUGCAUUGCCCAUCUCAAGUUCAUCCUCUUAUGCUUUGAGGCCGUCUCAGGCCUGAAAAUUAACUUCUCCAAGAGUGAGGUCCUGGUCACUGGUGUUGAUGAUGCGGAGGCCUUGAGAGUGGCUAGGCUGCUUAACUGUUCCCUGGGCUCCUUCCCUUUUAAAUAUCUGGGACUCCCCAUCUCUCCUGUUCCGUUACAUUCAAAGGAUUUUGCUCCGGCUGUUUCUAAGGUGGGAAACAGAGUUCUUCCCUGGAGAGGUAGAUAUAAUACUAAUGCUGGCAAAGUUGCUCUGAUUAACGCCUGCCUCUCCUCCCUUCCUAUGUUUCUAAUGGGCUUCUAUCUUUUAUCGGCUGGCAUUCAUGCCAGUUUUGACAAGCACAGGGGGGCUUUCUAUUGGAAUGCUGCUGACAACAAACGGAAAUAUAGGCUGGUUAAAUGGAAGCUCAUGUGUAGGCCUAAAAACCUUGGGGGGGUAGGCAUUAUUAACACGUUGGUUAUGAACAAAUGUCUUUUAAUCAAAUUGUGGUGGAAAAUCAUGACCAGUGGGGCCGGCUCUUUAUGGUAUUCGAUUCUUAAAGCUAAAUAUUUUCCAUACUCUAGCCCGAUGUUUGCUAGGGCCCGGCGUGGAUCUCAAUUCUGGAAGGACCUUAUUAAAGUUCGACCUUUAUUCCUGGAACAUGUUAAGUUUACUGUUGGUAACGGCUCCUCGGUUCGUUUUUGGCGUGACUGGUGGUGUGGUGACUCUCCUCUGGCUGUUAGCUUCCCGGUUCUUUUUUCGUAUUGCCCUAACCCGAAUAUCUCCAUCGUGGAGGUGGCGGCUAAUAAUUGGGACCUGGCUUUUCAUCGUUCCCUAUCUCCUGAAGAGUUGUAA
RNAcentral lists this ribosomal RNA (891 nucleotides) under Triticum aestivum (bread wheat). RNAcentral describes it as "partial small subunit ribosomal RNA". The record is from RNAcentral. Lineage: Eukaryota; Viridiplantae; Streptophyta; Magnoliopsida; Poales; Poaceae.